Molecule: unclassified non-coding RNA, 169 nt
Filed under: soil metagenome
Description: partial contains 5.8S ribosomal RNA, internal transcribed spacer 2, and large subunit ribosomal RNA
Source: RNAcentral
AAGACUAUAGACCUGCGGAGUACCUGCGGAGGGAUCAUUAGUGAACGCCCUCACGGGCUUAUAACUAUUCCAAACCUCUGUGAACCGUGCCCUUCGGGGCUAUUUUACAAACAUGGUGUAAUGAACGUCGUAUAUCAUAACAAAACAAAACUUUCAACAAUGGAUCUCU